This 424-nucleotide ribosomal RNA is filed under the name Fusobacteriota bacterium. RNAcentral describes it as "Fusobacteria bacterium partial 16S ribosomal RNA". It matches the Rfam family "Bacterial small subunit ribosomal RNA", at positions 355 to 776 of the family's 1533-position model. Lineage: Bacteria; Fusobacteriati; Fusobacteriota. The record is from RNAcentral.
UGAGGAAUAUUGGUCAAUGGGCGAGAGCCUGAACCAGCCAAGUAGCGUGCAGGAUGACGGCCCUAUGGGUUGUAAACUGCUUUUAUGUGGGGAUAAAGUGCGUGACGUGUCAUGCAUUGCAGGUACCACAUGAAUAAGGACCGGCUAAUUCCGUGCCAGCAGCCGCGGUAAUACGGAAGGUCCGGGCGUUAUCCGGAUUUAUUGGGUUUAAAGGGAGCGUAGGCUGUCUAUUAAGCGUGUUGUGAAAUAUACCGGCUCAACCGGUGGCUUGCAGCGCGAACUGGUCGACUUGAGUAUGCAGGAAGUAGGCGGAAUUCAUGGUGUAGCGGUGAAAUGCUUAGAUAUCAUGACGAACUCCGAUUGCGCAGGCAGCUUACUGUAGCAUAACUGACGCUGAUGCUCGGAAGUGCGGGUAUCAAACAGG